This 253-nucleotide ribosomal RNA is filed under the name uncultured bacterium. RNAcentral describes it as "partial 16S ribosomal RNA". It matches the Rfam family "Bacterial small subunit ribosomal RNA", at positions 524 to 776 of the family's 1533-position model. The record is from RNAcentral.
UACAGAGGUCUCAAGCGUUGUUCGGAUUCAUUGGGCGUAAAGGGUGCGUAGGCGGCGGGGCAAGUCGGGUGUGAAAUCUCAGGGCUCAACCCUGAAACUGCAUUCGAUACUGCCUUGCUCGAGGACUGGAGAGGAGAUUGGAAUUCACGGUGUAGCAGUGAAAUGCGUAGAUAUCGUGAGGAAGACCAGUGGCGAAGGCGGAUCUCUGGACAGUUCCUGACGCUGAGGCACGAAGGCCAGGGGAGCAAACGGG